This 1421-nucleotide ribosomal RNA is filed under the name Brevibacterium casei. Its description in RNAcentral is "bacterial SSU rRNA". It matches the Rfam family "Bacterial small subunit ribosomal RNA". Lineage: Bacteria; Bacillati; Actinomycetota; Actinomycetes; Micrococcales; Brevibacteriaceae. The record is from RNAcentral.
GGGCUGCUUACCAUGCAGUCGAACGCUGAAGCCUGGUGCUUGCAUCGGGUGGAUGAGUGGCGAACGGGUGAGUAACACGUGAGUAACCUGCCCCUGACUUCGGGAUAAGCCCGGGAAACUGGGUCUAAUACCGGAUACGACUGCCGGACGCAUGUCUGGUGGUGGAAAGUUUUUUCGGUUGGGGAUGGGCUCGCGGCCUAUCAGUUUGUUGGUGAGGUAAUGGCUCACCAAGACGACGACGGGUAGCCGGCCUGAGAGGGCGACCGGCCACACUGGGACUGAGACACGGCCCAGACUCCUACGGGAGGCAGCAGUGGGGAAUAUUGCACAAUGGGGGAAACCCUGAUGCAGCGACGCAGCGUGCGGGAUGACGGCCUUCGGGUUGUAAACCGCUUUCAGCAGGGAAGAAGCGCAAGUGACGGUACCUGCAGAAGAAGUACCGGCUAACUACGUGCCAGCAGCCGCGGUAAUACGUAGGGUACGAGCGUUGUCCGGAAUUAUUGGGCGUAAAGAGCUCGUAGGUGGUAGGUCACGUCUGCUGUGGAAACGCAACGCUUAACGUUGCGCGUGCAGUGGGUACGGGCUGACUAGAGUGCAGUAGGGGAGUCUGGAAUUCCUUGGUGUAGCGGUGAAAUGCGCAGAUAUCAAGAAGAACACCGGUGGCGAAGGCGGGACUCUGGGCUGUAACUGACACUGAGGAGGCGAAAGCAUGGGGAGCGAACAGGAUUAGAUACCCUGGUAGUCCAUGCCGUAAACGUUUGGGCACUAGGUGGGGGGGGCCAUUCCACGUUCUCCGCGCCGUAGCUAACGCAUUAAGUGCCCCGCCCUGGGGGAGUACGGUUCCCAAGGCUAAAACUCAAAGGAAUUGACCGGGGGCCCGCACAAGCGGCGGACCAUCGCGGAUAAUUUCGAUCCAACGCAAAAACCUUUACCAAGGCUGACAAAACACCGGCCGUUCCGGAAACCAGUUCUUCCCUUUGGGGGUGGGGGACCAGGGGGGCCAGGGUGUUGUUAAGUUGGGUUGGGAGAAGGUGGGGUAAAGUCCGCAAAGGGGGCAACCCUUGUUUUUAGUUGCCCACCACGGGAGGGGGGAAAUUCUUAGGGGAUGCCGGGGUUAAAUUGGAGGAAAGGGGGGGAGGAGUUCAAUUCUUCAUCCCCUUAAGUUUUGGGGUUUCAGCCUGGUUCAAAGGGUGGGACCAAGAGAGGGGAAACCCGGAGGGCCAAGGAAUUCCUUAAAACCCAUUUCAGUUUGGGAUGGUAGUUGCAAAUUGGAUUACGGAAAUUCGGAGUCGUUAGUAAUCGCAGAUCAGCAACGUGCGGGGAAAUACGUUCCCGGCCUUGUACACCCGCCCGUCAAAGUCAGAAAAGUCGGAACACCCCGAAGCCGGUGGCCUAACCCGCAAGGGAGGGGGCCGUCUAAG